ACUAUUAACAUGAGUUAAGUCUAAUAAUAACAUGAGCUAACUGACAUGCAAAAGUAGACUUUCUGAAAGUUAUUAUUUAUGGAAAUCAACUAUAAAAGGAAGAAUAAGUUUCCAUUUUGGGGGAUAGUUAUGCUCUAAAAAUGAAAGUUACUAUUUAUGGAAAUCAACUAUAAAAGGAAUGGUAAGUUUCCAUUUUAAGGGGGAUAGUUAUGCUCUAAAAACGAAAGUUACUAUUUAUAGAAAUCAACUAUAAAAGGAAGGGUAAGUUUCCAUUUUGGGGGGAUAGUUAUGCUCUAAAAAUAAAAGUUACUAUUUAUGGAAAUCAACUAUAAAAGGAAGGGUAAGUUUCUAUUUUGGGGGAAUAGUUAUGCUUUAAAAACAAAAGUUACUAUUUAUGGAAAUCUACUAUAAAAGGAAUGGUAAGUUUCCAUUUCGGGGGAUUCCUUUUCUGAAAAUUCAACACUAAUUGCCACAUGUUACGACCUCAUUCGUCCUAAGUCACUAAUCUGUCAAUAUCAUUAAAGUUUUACUUUUUUUCCACCAUUUCAAAACUUUAAAAAUGCAUAGAAAAUAGCUCCAGUGUCGGAAAAAUUCACCGAAAAAUGUCACGGACAACAGGUGAGACCCACUUCACAACUACGUCUAAAUUUUAGUAAUUUGAAUCACAACGUACCUACUAAUGUGGUAUAACUUGUUUGGUAGGUUAUAUGCUAGUGUACAACUUUGUGAACCAACUAUAUGGAGGAUGCAAAAUUUUCAAAAAUCUUGUGAAAUAGGAUGUGAUCGGUAUAGUAAAAUAUGGCUACGGUAGAAAAAUCACUUUAAUUUACCAAAGUUCUGGCCCCGAUCGAAGCGGUCAACCCUAUUUACGUUUAUGCUUCACUAAGGAGAGCCCUAUCCUCGGGUGGUAAACGUCCCCAAAGUUUUACAUGGGUGGUUAUAUCUCAUCUAUGUGAGACUUUAUUGUGUUGAAGAAUCCACCAAACUAGGUCACAAAGAGGUAGGUAAGAUAGUUUUCGUGUGAUAAGUGAAUAUGAAUUAAGGUUGACCGCUUUGAUCGAGCCCUGAACAUUAUUGAAUCCAGUUGAAUUUUAUACCAUAGCCAUGUUUCACUAUAAUGAUCACAUCAUACGGUCAAUUUUCAUUUUGUGAAUUUUAGUCAUCGAAAUCAUAACAUGCCUACUAAAGUAUUAUAACUUGUUUGAUAGGUUAUAUGCUAGUGUACAACUUUGUGAACCAACUAUAUAGAGGAAGCAAAAUUUUUAAAAAUCUCGUGAAAUAUGAUGUGAUCGAUAUAGUAAAAUACGGCUACGGUAAGAAAAUCACUUUAAUUCGCCAAUGUUUGGGCCCCGAUCGAAGCUGUCAACUCUAUUUACACUUAUGCUUCAAUAAGGAGAGCCCUAUCCUCGGCUGGUAAACAUCCCCAAAGUUUUACAUGGGUGGUUAUGUCUCAUCUAUGUGACACUUUAUUGUGUUGAAGAAUCCACCAAACUAGGUCACGAAGAGGUAGGUAAGAUAGUUUUCGUGUGAUAAGUGAAGAUGAAUUAAGGUUGAUCGCUUUGAUCGAGCGCCGAACAUUGUUGAAUCCAGUUGAAUUUUAUACCAUAGCCAUGUUUCACUAUAAUGAUCACAUCAGACGGUCAAUUUUCAUUUUGUGAAUAUUCAUUGAUUGAAUCUCAAGAACAAUUUAGAUUUCCAGAAAGUCUAUUUUUCUUUAAUUUCUAUUAUGUUAAUGGUAGCCAUUUCUUAUGAAAAAAGUGGUUGUGUCUUAUGUUAAAUGUAGACUUUUCAUCUUUUACCUUGGUUUUUCUUCAAUCUCAAGAACAAUUUAGAUUUCCAGAAAGUCUACUUUUCUUUUAUUUCUCUUAUGUUAAUGGUAGACAUUUCUUAUGAAAAUAGUAGAGGUGUCUUAUGUUAAAUGUAGACCUUACAUCUUUUACCUUGGGUUGCUUCAAUCUCAAGAACAAUUUAGAUUUACAGAAAGUCUACUUUUCUUUGAUUUCUCUUAUGUUAAUGGUAGACAUUUCUUAUGAAAAAAGUAGUUGUGUCUUAUGUUAAAUGU
This 2062-nucleotide long non-coding RNA is filed under the name Fragaria vesca (wild strawberry). RNAcentral describes it as "long non-coding RNA (FVES_LNC001003)". Lineage: Eukaryota; Viridiplantae; Streptophyta; Magnoliopsida; Rosales; Rosaceae. The record is from RNAcentral.